Molecule: ribosomal RNA, 497 nt
Filed under: uncultured bacterium
Lineage: Bacteria
Description: partial 16S ribosomal RNA
Rfam family: Bacterial small subunit ribosomal RNA
Source: RNAcentral
GAUGAACGCUGGCGGCGUGCCUAAUACAUGCAAGUCGAGCGAACAGACGAGGAGCUUGCUCCUCUGACGUUAGCGGCGGACGGGUGAGUAACACGUGGAUAACCUACCUAUAAGACUGGGAUAACUUCGGGAAACCGGAGCUAAUACCGGAUAAUAUAUUGAACUGCAAGGUUCAAUAGUGAAAGACGGUUUUGCUGACACUUAUAGAUGGCUCCGCGCAGGAUUAGCUAGUUGGUAAGGUAACGGCUUACCAAGGCAACGAUGCGUAGCCGACCUGAGAGGGUGAUCCGCCACACUGGAACUGAGACACGGUCCAGACUCCUACGGGAGGCAGCAGUAGGGAAUCUUCCGCAAUGGGCGAAAGCCUGACGGAGCAACGCCGCGUGAGUGAUGAAGGUCUUCGGAUCGUAAAACUCUGUUAUUAGGGAAGAACAAAUGUGUAAGUAACUAUGCACGUCUUGACGGUACCUAAUCAGAAAGCCACGGCUAACUACGUG